GAGUUUGAUCCUGGCUCAGAUUGAACGCUGGCGGCAGGCCUAACACAUGCAAGUCGAACGGUAACAGGAAGCAGCUUGCUGCUUCGCUGACGAGUGGCGGACGGGUGAGUAAUGUCUGGGAAACUGCCUGAUGGAGGGGGAUAACUACUGGAAACGGUAGCUAAUACCGCAUAACGUCGCAAGACCAAAGAGGGGGACCUUCGGGCCUCUUGCCAUCGGAUGUGCCCAGAUGGGAUUAGCUAGUAGGUGGGGUAACGGCUCACCUAGGCGACGAUCCCUAGCUGGUCUGAGAGGAUGACCAGCCACACUGGAACUGAGACACGGUCCAGACUCCUACGGGAGGCAGCAGUGGGGAAUAUUGCACAAUGGGCGCAAGCCUGAUGCAGCCAUGCCGCGUGUAUGAAGAAGGCCUUCCGGUUGUAAAGUACUUUCAGCGGGGAGGAAGGGAGUAAAGUUAAUACCUUUGCUCAUUGACGUUACCCGCAGAAGAAGCACCGGCUAACUCCGUGCCAGCAGCCGCG
This 521-nucleotide ribosomal RNA is filed under the name Escherichia coli. RNAcentral describes it as "bacterial SSU rRNA". It matches the Rfam family "Bacterial small subunit ribosomal RNA", at positions 9 to 519 of the family's 1533-position model. The record is from RNAcentral. Lineage: Bacteria; Pseudomonadati; Pseudomonadota; Gammaproteobacteria; Enterobacterales; Enterobacteriaceae.